This 393-nucleotide ribosomal RNA is filed under the name uncultured bacterium. Its description in RNAcentral is "partial 16S ribosomal RNA". It matches the Rfam family "Bacterial small subunit ribosomal RNA", at positions 523 to 918 of the family's 1533-position model. The record is from RNAcentral.
AUACGGAGGAUCCGAGCGUUAUCCGGACUUAUUGGGUUUAAAGGGUGCGCAGGCGGGAGAUUAAGUCGGCGGGGAAAUUUUGCAGUUCAACUGUAAAAGUGCCUUCGGAACUGGUUUUCUUUAGUGUAGAUGAAGUAGGCGGAAUUUGUGGGUUAGCGGGUGAAUGCAUAGAUAUCACGAGGAACUCCGAUUGCGCAGGCAGCUUACUAAACUACUACUGACGCUCAGGCACGAAGGCGUGGGGAUCAAACAGGAUUAGAUACCCUGGUAGUCCACGCAGUAAACGAUGAUUACUAGCUGUUUGCGAUACAAUGUAAGCGGCUGAGCGAAAGCGUUAAGUAAUCCACCUGGGGAGUACGUUCGCAAGAAUGAAACUCAAAUGAAUUGACGGGG